Long non-coding RNA from Serinus canaria (Common canary), 357 nucleotides. RefSeq lists it as uncharacterized. The record is from RefSeq and is a predicted model, not a curated record. Lineage: Eukaryota; Metazoa; Chordata; Aves; Passeriformes; Fringillidae. The transcript is spliced from 4 exons.
UCGCAGGCAGGGAGGGACCAGAGGAACCGCCCCAGCCGCUCGAUGUUGCCGCCUUGCUGGAGCACCUCGCAGACGCAGGCCACUUGCUCUUGGGUGAAGCCAAAAGUCGGGAGCAUCGACAUGGUUCUUGAAUCGGCUCAAAUACGCUGGGGACCUUUUACUUCCCAGAGAAAAAACCUGACAAGUGGUGGAAGAAAUGAACUGGACCUUACAGUCAUCAUGAAGUGAGCCUCAGCUCUCAAGAAGAGAAGAAAUAAAGAAGUGUAAUUGGGGUGGAAUUAAAAGACAACUAGAGCCAUAUUGCACAAUCAAGUUUUAAGCAGAUUUGCCACAGAGUGCGAUACAUCCCACAUGGAA